AUCAGUAAGGAGCCUCCGACAGAAAUGGCACCCUAAGGCUGAGAUUCUGCACAAAAGCUUUGUCUCUCCUGCACACGGGCACCCUAAGGCUGAGCAGCACUCUCUGCCGGGUGACUGCGCCAGCGCCCAGACCACCUGCUGGAGAAAGAAAGCAUGGCACGUUGAAGAGGCUCCUGGAACGCGCCGCUGCAGUCAUUCCGGCGCACCCAGUUAGAGCUCCUGCUCUGGGCCACUGAGACCAAAGAGAAAUGGUGUCAGCUGUGAGAAACUUGCUUAUCCUGGAAGCCCCAAGAGACGCAGCUCUGCUGAUGCAGCUAGACACAGCUCCGAAGACACCACAGGAAGCUUUGGAAGCACAAUAUACUUUGUGAAGAAAUUUGAAAACUUCAGUGCUACUUAGCAAGUUUCUUGGCAUUAGCAGUUAUCCAGGGACUCCCAGCGGGUAUCUACCCAGCUGGAGAAAGAAAUAUUCCAACAGGAAGGAAGAAACUCUCCAAUCUCACUGCAGGCCUGGAUAUUUGGAAAGAUCUCAUCACCAGACAGGGUGAAGGACACUGGACUUUGACUUUUGGACUCACAUAGCCAAUGGCUUGCUUGGCGUCUUCACAAAGAUAUCUAACAAGCAUCUCAACCCUAACAGAACUCUCGGUUCCUUCCCUCUCAUCCCCAACAUACGCCCCCACUAAUGUUCCCCAUUUCAAUAAAAUAAAUGGUUUUGGCUUAAGCCAAAAGCCUAGACUCCUCCUCGAUUCCUCUCUUUCUCACAUCUCCACAGCCAACCUAUCGGCAAGACCUUCUGGCUCAGCCAUCACAAGGUAUCUCGAAUCUGUCCACUUUCACUCCUUCUUCAUUGCUGCCAUGUGCUUCCAAGCCACCAGCAUCCAUUCAAACAACUCAGUUAGGUCUGUCCGUGGCCACCCUGGCUCUAUGACAACCCAUUUUCCCAUACAGCAUCCCGAGACCCUAGGCGACCUGGCUGCUGUCUACCUCUCCCACAAUGAGCUUCUCUUCCUUCAGGUAAGAACUGGAAUGUUACAUGACCCUGUUCAAUUUCAUCAGUGUACUUAGAAGAAUCAGCCAUUUUAAUACUCGUUCAUUUGUGUUUGUUGUCACGCCUCCCUCAUUUGAUGAGGGUGG
RNAcentral lists this long non-coding RNA (1137 nucleotides) under Homo sapiens (human). Its description in RNAcentral is "non-protein coding lnc-FYTTD1-8:4". The record is from RNAcentral. Lineage: Eukaryota; Metazoa; Chordata; Mammalia; Primates; Hominidae.